CUGACAUAGGGAGGUAGUGACAAUAAAUAACAAUGCCGGGCCAAAUUGGUCUGGCACUUGGAAUGAGAACAAUCUAAAUCCCUUAUCGAAAUUCCAUUGGAGGGCAAGUCUGGUGCCAGCAGCCGCGGUAAUUCCAGCUCCAAUAGCGUAUAUUAAAGUUGUUGCAGUUAAAAAGCUCGUAGUUGGAUUUCUGAUUGAGACAUCAGGUCGGGUCCGAGAGGAUCAUGUACUUUGAUUUGUUUUGAUCAUCCUUGGGGAGAGCAAUUCUGGCAUUAAGUUGUCGGGGUUGGGAUCCUCAUCGUUUACUGUGAAAAAUUAGAGUGUUCAAAGCAGGCCUCGGCCUCUGAAUACAUUAGCAUGGAAUAAUAAGAUAGGACUUUUGGUGGUCUAUUUUGUUGGUUUGCACGCCAAAGUAAUGAUUAAUAGGGAUAGUUGGGGGUAUUCGUAUUCAAUUGUCAGAGGUGAAAUUCUUGGAUUUAUGGAAGACGAACUACUGCG
RNAcentral lists this ribosomal RNA (498 nucleotides) under uncultured Chrysophyceae. Its description in RNAcentral is "bacterial SSU rRNA". It matches the Rfam family "Eukaryotic small subunit ribosomal RNA", at positions 451 to 947 of the family's 1831-position model. The record is from RNAcentral. Lineage: Eukaryota; Chrysophyceae.